Molecule: ribosomal RNA, 576 nt
Filed under: uncultured bacterium
Lineage: Bacteria
Description: bacterial SSU rRNA
Rfam family: Bacterial small subunit ribosomal RNA
Source: RNAcentral
CCUACGGGAGGCAGCAGUAGGGAAUAUUGGACAAUGGACGCAAGUCUGAUCCAGCCAUCCCGCGUGAAGGAUUAAGGCCCUAUGGGUUGUAAACUUCUUUUCUUUGGGAAUAAAAAGCGGUAUUCAUAUCGCCUUGAAGGUACCAGAGGAAUAAGCACCGGCUAACUCCGUGCCAGCAGCCGCGGUAAUACGGAGGGUGCAAGCGUUAUCCGGAUUCACUGGGUUUAAAGGGUGCGUAGGUGGCUUUGUAAGUCAGCGGUGAAAGCCUGGAGCUCAACUCCAGAAUUGCCAUUGAUACUGCAGAGCUUGAAUCAAGUUGAGGUGGAUGGAAUAUUACAUGUAGCGGUGAAAUGCUUAGAUAUGUAAUAGAACACCGAUUGCGAAGGCAGUUCACUAAGCUUGUAUUGACACUGAGGCACGAAAGCGUGGGGAUCAAACAGGAUUAGAUACCCUGGUAGUCCACGCCCUAAACGAUGCAAACUCGACAUUAGCGAUAUACAGUUAGUGUCCAAGCGAAAGCGUUAAGUUUGCCACCUGGAAGUACGACCGCAAGGUUGAAACUCAAAUGAAUUGAGG